GUUUAAGUAAUUUAAGAUUAAAAUGUUGAUUUGUGGUGUCAAAAAUAUGAAAAUUGUCAUCUUAAACU
Molecule: transfer RNA, 68 nt
Filed under: Tryonicus mackerrasae
Lineage: Eukaryota; Metazoa; Arthropoda; Insecta; Blattodea; Tryonicidae
Description: tRNA-His
Source: RNAcentral